Molecule: ribosomal RNA, 117 nt
Filed under: Dialister pneumosintes
Lineage: Bacteria; Bacillati; Bacillota; Negativicutes; Veillonellales; Veillonellaceae
Also listed under: 1 other name
Source: RNAcentral
AACAGUGAUGAUAGCUGUGAGGAUACACCUGUACCCAUGCCGAACACAGAAGUUAAGCUCACAAACGUCGAAAGUACUUGGCUGGAAGCGGCCCGGGAGGAUAGAAAAUCGCUGAUU